This 415-nucleotide ribosomal RNA is filed under the name uncultured bacterium. Its description in RNAcentral is "bacterial SSU rRNA". It matches the Rfam family "Bacterial small subunit ribosomal RNA", at positions 355 to 786 of the family's 1533-position model. The record is from RNAcentral.
UGGGGAAUAUUGGACAAUGGGCGCAAGCCUGAUCCAGCAAUGCCGCGUGGGUGAAGAAGGUCUUCGGAUUGUAAAGCCCUUUCGGCGGGGACGAUGAUGACGGUACCCGUAGAAGAAGCCCCGGCUAACUUCGUGCCAGCAGCCGCGGUAAUACGAAGGGGGCUAGCGUUGCUCGGAUUGACUGGGCGUAAAGGGCGCGUAGGCGGUUCGUACAGUCAGACGUGAAAUUCCUGGGCUCAACCUGGGGGCUGCGUUUGAUACGUGCGGACUUGAGUGCGGAAGAGGGUCGUGGAAUUCCCAGUGUAGAGGUGAAAUUCGUAGAUAUUGGGAAGAACACCGGUGGCGAAGGCGGCGACCUGGUCCGAUACUGACGCUGAGGCGCGAAAAGCGUGGGGAGCAAACAGGAUUAGAUACC